Molecule: ribosomal RNA, 469 nt
Filed under: uncultured organism
Description: partial 16S ribosomal RNA
Rfam family: Bacterial small subunit ribosomal RNA
Source: RNAcentral
ACUCCUACGGGAGGCAGCAGUGAGGAAUAUUGGACAAUGGGUGGAAGCCUGAUCCAGCCAUCCCGCGUGCAGGAAGACGGCCCUAUGGGUUGUAAACUGCUUUUAUCUGGGGAUAAACCUACUUACGUGUAAGUAGCUGAAGGUACCAGAAGAAUAAGCACCGGCUAACUCCGUGCCAGCAGCCGCGGUAAUACGGAGGGUGCAAGCGUUAUCCGGAUUUAUUGGGUUUAAAGGGUCCGUAGGCGGACUGAUAAGUCAGUAGUGAAAUCCGACAGCUUAACUGUCGAACUGCCAUUGAUACUGUUAGUCUUGAGUAAGGUUGAAGUGGCUGGAAUAAGUAGUGUAGCGGUGAAAUGCAUAGAUAUUACUUAGAACACCAAUUGCGAAGGCAGGUCACUAAGUCUUAACUGACGCUGAUGGACGAAAGCGUGGGGAGCGAACAGGAUUAGAAACCCUGGUAGUCCCAUGA